Molecule: ribosomal RNA, 492 nt
Filed under: uncultured bacterium
Lineage: Bacteria
Description: partial 16S ribosomal RNA
Rfam family: Bacterial small subunit ribosomal RNA
Source: RNAcentral
AGCGAACGCUGGCGGUAGGCCUAACACAUGCAAGUCGAACGGCAGCACAGUUAGGGCUUGCUCUUACGGGUGGCGAAUGGGGGACGAGUGAGCUAUACAUCGGGAUCUACUUUUUCGUAGGGGUUAACGUAGGGAAACAUACGCUACUACCGCAUACGACCUACGGGUGAAAGCAGGGGAUCUUCAGACCUUGCGCGGUUGGAUGAGCCGAUGUCGGAUUAGCUAGUUGGCGGGGUAAAGGCCCACCAAGGCGACGCUCCGUAGCUGGUCUGAGAGGAUGAUCAGCCACACUGGAAGUGAGACUCGGUACAGACUUUUACGGGAGGAAGCAGUGGGGAAUAUUGGACAAUGGGCGCAAGCCUGAUCCAGGCAUACCGCGUGGGUGAAGAAGGCCUUAGGGUUGGAAAGUCAUGUUGUUGGGAAAGAAAAGCAGCAGGUUAAUACCCCGCUGUUCUGACGGUACCCAAAGAAUAAGCACCGGCUAACUUCGUG